This 206-nucleotide ribosomal RNA is filed under the name uncultured bacterium. Its description in RNAcentral is "partial 16S ribosomal RNA". It matches the Rfam family "Bacterial small subunit ribosomal RNA", at positions 568 to 774 of the family's 1533-position model. The record is from RNAcentral.
CGUGUAGGCGGUUUGGUAAGUGGGACGUGAAAUCCCUCGGCUCACCCGAGGACUUGCGUCCCAUACUGCCAGGCUAGAGUACGGGAGAGGAUGAAGGAAUUCCUGGUGUAGCGGUGAAAUGCGUAGAUAUCAGGAGGAACACCGGUGGCGAAGGCGUUCAUCUGGCCCGAUACUGACGCUGAGGCGCGAAAGCUAGGGAGCAAACG